GCCUGGCCCUAAAUCUUGAUGCUCGAUCUUACCGGAGCAUCCGCCCGAGAACUACGAGCACUAACGCUUAAAACUCUAAGGACUUGGCGGUGUCCCAAACCCACCUAGAGGAGCCUGUUCUGUAAUCGAUGAUCCACGAUAUACCUGACCAUUCCUCGCCAGAUCAGCCUAUAUACCGCCGUCGCCAGCCCACCCAGCAUGAAGGACCAACAGUGGACGCAAUAGCCUCACCCGCUAAUAAGACAGGUCAAGGUAUAGCCUAUGGAAUGGAAGCAAUGGGCUACAUUUUCUAAGCUAGAACAUAACGGCAAAGGGACAUGAAACUGACCCUAGAAGGAGGAUUUAGCAGUAAAGUGGGACAAUCGAGCCCUCUUUAAGCCGGCCCUGGGACACGU
RNAcentral lists this ribosomal RNA (395 nucleotides) under Phylloscopus whistleri whistleri. Its description in RNAcentral is "Seicercus whistleri whistleri partial 12S ribosomal RNA". It matches the Rfam family "Bacterial small subunit ribosomal RNA", at positions 794 to 1384 of the family's 1533-position model. Lineage: Eukaryota; Metazoa; Chordata; Aves; Passeriformes; Phylloscopidae. The record is from RNAcentral.